AACGAACGCAGGCGGCAGGCCUAACACAUGCAAGUCGAACGGACGUAGCAAUACGUUAGUGGCGCACGGGAGAGUAACGCGUGGGAACCUACCUUUUGGUUCGGGAUAACAUCGGGAAACUGGUGCUAAUACCGGAUAAGCCCUUCGGGGGAAAGAUUUAUUGCCGAAAGAUGGGCCCGCGUUGGAUUAGCUAGUUGGUGAGGUAAUGGCUCACCAAGGCAACGAUCCAUAGCUGGUCUGAGAGGAUGAUCAGCCUCACUGGGACUGAGACACGGCCCAGACUCCUACGGGAGGCAGCAGUGGGGAAUAUUGGACAAUGGGGGAAACCCUGAUCCAGCCAUGCCGCGUGAAUGAUGAAGGCCUUCGGGUUGUAAAGUUCUUUUGGUGGGGACGAUGAUGACUGUACCCACAGAAUAAGCUCCGGCUAACUUCGUGCCAGCCGCCGCUGUAA
This 451-nucleotide ribosomal RNA is filed under the name uncultured bacterium. Its description in RNAcentral is "partial 16S ribosomal RNA". It matches the Rfam family "Bacterial small subunit ribosomal RNA", at positions 29 to 523 of the family's 1533-position model. The record is from RNAcentral.